AAUGGGGGGUGAGACCCCUCCAGGGCUGGCAAAGAGGCUCUGGGGAUCACUGGAGAGGGUGGAGGGCGAGGGGCGUCCAAGGGGUUGUGGUUUUUGGGGAGGGGGAAGGGUGGAGGAUGUUGUGGGGAGGGGGUGGUGAAAAGUUGGGGUGGUGCGGGGGCCGUGGGGUUGUUUGGGCUCUCUUGGGGGGAUUAUGGGUGUAUUUGGGCUCCCCUGGGGCUGGGGGGGGGUCCCCAUGUGUGAGGAGGUGGGCGAGGGGACCCCACUGCUGGUCCUGGCUGUGGCUCUGCCCUGCCAGACCCUCUCCGUGUUGGGGGGUUCACCAGCACCCCCCUGUCCUGGCCCCCGGGGCUCACCCCGAGGCACCCAGCGCGGCCGGGUCUCCUCUGCUCCUCCCAGACUUCGGCAACACCCUUGGGCUUCCCGGCACCGCAAAGGCUCCUCCUUCGCCUUCCCCACCUGCGGGGCCCCAUCCCGGGGACAGCAGCACCGAGGCACCGGCCCCGUGUCCCGGGGACGCUGCUGGCGGCAGCUCCAGCCCGUUCCAGCAGCGGCAUCGCCCCGCUCCCGGCAGCCGGCUGUGCGAGACAGCGUGGGGUCCCAUCCCGGGGCUCCCCGGGGACCCCACGUUCAGCACCGGACCGUGGCGUGGGUGGAUCCCCGGGGACCCCACGUUCAGCACCGGACCGUGCCCUGGGGGGCUCCCCGGGGACCCCACGUUCAACACCGGACCGUGGCGUGGGUGGCUCCCCGGGGACCCCACGUUCAGCACCGGACCGUGCCUUGGGGGGCUCCCCGGGGACCCCACGUUCAGCACCGGACCGUGCCCUGAGGGGCUCCCCGGGGACCCCACGUUCAGCCGUGCCGUGGGUGGCUCGCCGGGGACGCGGUGCCCGCCGGCUCCGGUUUACCGGAGGAAGCGCCGUCCCCUCCCGGCGCGGUUGUGCUGCGCCCCGGAUGUGCCGCUCCGACGCCAAGAUGGACGGGGCGGCCACCUGUCCGGCCCCGUGUCACCAGAUCCCUGUGUCCCCAAGUCCCCGCAUCCUCAUGUCCCCAGAUCGCAUUGUCCCUGCAUCUUGAUGGCCCCGGGUCCCUUUGUCCCCACAUUCCCACGGUCCAGUGUUCCUGGAUCGCGAUAUCUCCCGUUUCCCAGGUCCCUUUGUCCCAAAAUCCCCACAUCCCAGUGUCCCCGCAUCCCCCGAUCCCUUUGUGCCCGCUUCCCGGUGUCCCCACGUGUCCGCAGAGUUCGCGGCAGGGCUGGCUCCCGGUACCGGGGCCGUUUCACGAUCCCGGGGUGGGAGAUGGGCGGAGGAAACGGCAGGAGUGUGUGUGUGGGGGGGGAAUUUUGGGGGGUUUCUCCCGGUGCCCGCAGGGUCCCGGCGCUGCGGUGCCGCCCGGUACCGACAGGGGGCCGCCCCGCCUCCCCCGGGGCGGAUAAAGUCGGCGGCACCGGCACCGGCACCGGGCGGGAUGGCCCGGGGCGCGCUCCGCCUGCUCUGCUGCGCCGCUGCCCUGCUGGCUGCCGCAGGUACCGGGCACCGGGGAGGGUCCGCGGGGUCCCAGGGGCACGUGGGAGAUGCAGCACCGGGGGGCUGGGUGCUUCCCGGUACCAGCGGUGGGUGCGUCUGUGGCCUCCCCCCGCCCAGUUCCAGGUAUGGGGAGAAGCGUCCAGGUGCUCCGGGGCACCGGGGGAGUUCGGGGAGGCGACCACGCGUUGCCUCGCGGUCUGCACCGGCAGCCCGGUGGGGCACUGGGUGGGGGGUUCCGUGCCCCUUUUGGGGCUGGGGUCACCGGGGGGGGCUGCACCUCCUCCCCGGGAGUGCCAGGCUGCACCGGAGCACCCUGCCCCUCCCGGCCGAUGCGGUGCCUGGGCUGCCAAACCGGCUGGUCCUGGCACGGGUACCCUGGCACUCCCGGGGCAAAGGAGUAUCCCGGGCCACUGUGGGCCCCCCGUUUCCAGCCUGGGUCCCCCACACCCUCCCUGCACCCCGAGGGGCCUCGGCUCACCCAUCCUGGCACACUGGGUGCUUGGCCCUGGGCUCCAUGCCACCCUGGCAGAGGGUGGCAGCUGGUGGGGACAGCCCAUCCCAGUGAGCCUGGCAGCUGUGGGGACCCCCAGCCACGCUGUGCCCCUGCGUGCUGGCUCUGCCAGGGGACAUUUCUGUCCGGUGUCCCCCUGGGGCCAGUCUGGACUUGCUGCUCCUCUUGUGCAAACAGGAUUCGGGCAGAUAAGGGGCACUGCCCGGCAAACCUGCUCUGUCCCACGUGGCCGCGGGAGAGUCCCUGGCACGCCUGGCCCUGAGGGUGUCCGGUGGGUGCCACAAGGGCUGGGUCAGCACGUGUCCCUGUGGCCUGGCACUGCCCGCUGCUGCCACGCUGCUCCGCUUGUCCCCAGCAGUGCUGUGGCCGUGCCAUGACAGCUCGGGAAAAGCUCUUCUGGUUCUGGAUUUCUGGGAUUUGAUCCUGGCUAAAUGCCAGCUUUCUGUGUGAUCAAAAUCACCUGGGAAAUGAUCUCUGUGAGGCCAGGAGGUGGGGCAGGUGCUGCUGCCCUGCCAGGACCCUGCCAUGUGCUUGCUCACCAGCUCUCUCCUCCAAGGUCUGGAGCCAGGACGUGGCACUGAUCCUGCCAUUACAGUAUCUCAGAACAGCUCAGGGACAGCCGUGUCACCGUCUCCAUCCCGCUCAGCCACAGCCACCAGCCAGGGCACUCAGAGUGUGAGUCUGUCUGGCCCUGCCUCGGGAAGGGUCCGUGCAGUUCUAUCCAGCUCCACCACACCAACAACCCCAUCCAGUACCUCGGGAUCAACAUCUCCAUCCUCUGCAUCCAGCACCAGAACACCAACUCCAUCAAAGACCUCGAGAUCAACACCUCCAUCAUCUCCAUCCAGCCCCACCACACCAACAACCCCAUCCAGUACCUCAGGAUCAAAACCACCUCUAUCAUCUCCACCCAGCCCCACCACACCAACCCCUCCACACAAUAUUUCAGAAUCAACACCUCCAGUAUCUUCAUCCAACACCACCACAGCACCAUCUUCAGCCAGGACUCCGGGAUCAACGACACCUCUGAUACCCUCAUCCAAUGCCACCACGGCACCACCUCCACCCCGCACGAGUGUGUCCAGACCCACAGAGCAUCCAUCCAACUCAACCACACCUCCAGCCCCGUCCUCACCCAGGCCCUCUGGGCCUGCCUCUCCCAGCUCCCCCACCGUGAACCCGUGUCCCAACAGCACCAGCACUGUCACCACCAGCUCCAGGAGGACAGCAGCCACUGGCAGCACGGCUGGGAACUCUGAGCAGCACCCCACUGAGCUGAGCCCUGCUGUGGUUGUCCUCAUCUCCCUGGCCGUGUGCCUGCUGCUGCCGGGGGUGGCCGUGCUGCUGGUGCAGCUGUCCCGGCGCGGGACCCCCCCCUUCCAGCACCUGGAUGAGGUGCCCAUGGUGCGUGGGGGGGCCGGGGGGUGCCGAGGGGGGGUUUGUGGGGGGGGCAGCAGUUCCAGGGUGCGAGUGCUCACCCCGCUCUCUUUCUCUUCUUCCCCAGAGCAGAGUGACGGAGGGGUCCCCUGUCACGCCCCCCUCCCCCAGCUGACCCCCCGGCUGCAGCCCCCCGGGGCUCCCCGCGCUGCUGAAUAAAGAAUCUGCCGCCCUGCCUCCGCUUUCCCGUCUG
Onychostruthus taczanowskii (white-rumped snowfinch) is the source of this 3670-nucleotide RNA transcript. It is a transcript of the gene named putative protein TPRXL, with no coding region annotated. The record is from RefSeq and is a predicted model, not a curated record. The transcript is spliced from 2 exons. NCBI's taxonomy places the organism in Eukaryota, Metazoa, Chordata, Aves, Passeriformes, Passeridae.